RNAcentral lists this ribosomal RNA (301 nucleotides) under uncultured bacterium. RNAcentral's name for it is "partial 16S ribosomal RNA". It matches the Rfam family "Bacterial small subunit ribosomal RNA", at positions 509 to 807 of the family's 1533-position model. The record is from RNAcentral.
CAGCAGCCGCGGUAAUACGUAGGGUGCAAGCGUUAAUCGGAUUGAUUGGGUGUAAAGGGUGUGCAGACGGCCUAUUAAGUCACUUGUUAAAUUCUUCGGCCUAACUGAAGGUCUGCAAGUGAUACUGAUGAGCUAGAGGGUGGAAGAGAGAAGUGGAAUUCUCGGAGUAGCGGUAAAAUGCGUAGAUCUCGAGAGGAACACCAAUGGCGAAGGCAGCUUCUUGGUCCAUUCCUGACGUUCAUACACGAAAGCGUGGGGAGCAAACAGGAUUAGAUACCCCCGUAGUCCCUGUCUCUUAUAC